RNAcentral lists this small nuclear RNA (103 nucleotides) under Mus caroli (Ryukyu mouse). Lineage: Eukaryota; Metazoa; Chordata; Mammalia; Rodentia; Muridae. The record is from RNAcentral.
GUGCUUCGGCAGCACAUAUACUAAAAUUGGAACAAUACAGGGAAGAUUAGCAUGGCCCCUGUGCAAGGAUGACACGCAAAUUUGUGAAGAGUUCCAUAUUUUU